Non-coding RNA from Styela clava, 312 nucleotides. Lineage: Eukaryota; Metazoa; Chordata; Ascidiacea; Stolidobranchia; Styelidae. The record is from RefSeq and is a predicted model, not a curated record.
AUAGCAGAGAUAUUUAAGCAAUAUUCCAGGCAAGAGAGAGGUGGUGUCACUGGUUCAAGAAUCGAGGAUGCUUUCCUAGCAGUUCCUAAACGCUUCGCCAACGCAGCGCAGUUCCAAAGAUUUGCAUUGUCUGGGAAAGGUUUAUCGCUCAGUAUGCACGAGGUUGGAAACAUAAAAGAAAAUGCAAAAAAUGUGGAAGAGAGGAAUCUGGAUUUGCUCGUUUUCUGGAAAUUGAAAAACGGAGAUUCAGCAACAACUGAAAACAUCUGGCAACUGGUAAAUGCUUUCCUGGAUGAAAAAGGAGAAUCCCAC